GACGAACGCUGGCGGCGCGCCUAACACAUGCAAGUCGAACGAGCGAGAGAGAGCUUGCUUUCUCGAGCGAGUGGCGAACGGGUGAGUAACGCGUGAGGAACCUGCCUCAAAGAGGGGGACAACAGUUGGAAACGACUGCUAAUACCGUAUAAGCCCACGGUGCCGCAUGGCACAGAGGGAAAAGGAGCAAUCCGCUUUGAGAUGGCCUCGCGUCCGAUUAGCUAGUUGGUGAGGUAAUGGCCCACCAAGGCGACGAUCGGUAGCCGGACUGAGAGGUUGAACGGCCACAUUGGGACUGAGACACGGCCCAGACUCCUACGGGAGGCAGCAGUGGGGAAUAUUGCACAAUGGGGGAAACCCUGAUGCAGCGACGCCGCGUGGAGGAAGAAGGUCUUCGGAUUGUAAACUCCUGUUGUUGGGGAAGAUAAUGACGGUACCCAACAAGGAAGUGACGGCUAACUACGUG
This 466-nucleotide ribosomal RNA is filed under the name uncultured bacterium. RNAcentral's name for it is "partial 16S ribosomal RNA". It matches the Rfam family "Bacterial small subunit ribosomal RNA", at positions 28 to 507 of the family's 1533-position model. The record is from RNAcentral.